Long non-coding RNA from Alligator mississippiensis (American alligator), 2623 nucleotides. RefSeq lists it as uncharacterized. NCBI's taxonomy places the organism in Eukaryota, Metazoa, Chordata, Crocodylia, Alligatoridae. The record is from RefSeq and is a predicted model, not a curated record. The transcript has 3 exons.
ACCAGGCAAUUUACUAUUUAGAAAAUAAAGGGGAGAAUAAGUACAAGCAAAAUUAAAUUAUUCUCUUGAGGACCUUAUUUGCUUUGCAAUGAAGAUGAAAACUGAGGAGCUGAAUUUCUAAAUGAGCUGUAUAACACUGCACAGCUAUUGGCCCACCCAGGGGUUGGCAGUGUUUUAGGAAAAGCAGGUUGAAAUAGUGCAGUUCAGUCCAAAGAGGGCUGCUGCUUGCAACCUGGCCACUGAUGUUCGCUUUGCUACCUACAUAUUUGCUGCUAAAUGCCACCUAGUCAAUCACCUCUCUGCCAAAUUGCCAUUGAUGUGCCAACUCUGUAGACCAGAUGAAAUUGCUUCACAGAUUGGAUUUGGAUCCCAGACUGCUGGUUGCUGACCCCUGGUCUAAAUGCUACACAUACAGGGUAAAGCAGUAAUUAUAUGGCUCUAAAAAAUACUGCAUGUUUCCUGUUCUCCCUUCCAGGCACCCAGAAGCUCCACUCCUUAGGUAGGUGGAGCCAUGGCUCUGUUGGCUACCUCCCCAGUACAAGAGAAGGCUCCACAGACAAAAAAGCUCCACACCAACCUCUCCACCUCAUUCUGAUUAUCUGCUGGAGAAAUACUCAUUUAGUCAAUGGCACGGUUGAGUCACAGAAGGAAAAGGUCACACAAGCAUGUAGUAUGCACAAGCAACAGAACCCGCAAACUGCUACAUUGGAAUUGACACCGGCGCUGAUCUUUUCGGACUCUGCCAUUUGGCAAAUCGACAUUGUUGGGCCUGUCAUUUCAACCAAAUGAGAUAUCGUUAUAAGAGCUUGACACUGCUCCCACUGAAGUUACAAAACAUCCAUUCCCUUGGGACUAUGCCGGAAGAGUCCAUGUCUUCUGUGCCCCUUUCCAUUGGGGUGAAUUUCAUCCUUCUGAAUAAAGAAAAUCGCCUGUUAUUUUGAAAAGCAGAUGAAUCCCUAAAUACUGCAUGGGGCUUUCUGUAGAAAGUGAAGACUAUUAAACAAUAGCAGAAAAACUGUAAUAAUAAAUCCUUUCAACUCCUACAGCUCCUUACAUUUGGGGAUUUCAGACUUGCAUCAUAUUUACCAGGGGAUGGAGUGUGAGGAAUUGUAUAGAAAACACAAACACUUGUUAGAAUAGAGGCCUUUUUGCCAGGAAUAGAAUGAUUUUUGUAAUGAAUAUGACUCACAGGCACAGGUUAUUUGGAUUUCUCGAUUUCAGUUUAUUGCCAUGACAAGGAAAUGAAUGGUUUGCAUUUUUUGUAUGCUUACCUGAUUCAUUUGCUAUUGUUGUUUAAAAAUCCUUCAAGGACAGAGACACCCUCAUUAUCUGGCUUAGGAUUCUUCCUACUAGGCCAAUAUAAAAGAUUAAAUUGUAUUGCCUGAGGCUGCACCUCUAUAUUUAGUAAGUUUAUAUCCAAGCAGGUCCUUCAGUAAAUGUAUAAGUAUGGAGGCUUUAUGUACUUUAAAAAUGUAGCAAGGAAAUGCAUAAAUAUGUAGAAAAUAGCUUCUUCAAACUGAGGAAUGUAACCUUGCGUUAUCUUUUUGUCUCCUUAAUAUAAAGCGAGAGACUCAAAUCUAUCUUUAUUAUUACUUCCAGAAUGCAGGUAAUGAAAAAAGAAUUAUUAUUUACCUGCUACAGAAACUAAACAAAUAUAAAUAGGGUUGAGCCUGUGACUAAGAUAUUACAUUUUGUUACAUAUAUUGUGUUCUGGAAGAACCAGUUCAGCAGGGUUCAUUAAAGCAGUUCUUAGGGGCCUAAACCUUUCUCUGUCAGAGGUCUCCUCUCAUUAAUUCCCACAGAAUGGACUCAUAAAAUUAUACAGUUCCUUCAUCAAUGGAUCAAAAGGCUCCAAAUGCUUAAAUAAGGGUCUUGGAGGGGCUGCAAGCACAGACAGAAGUGUAGCUUCCUACUGUAAGUCAUGGCACUUUGCAGGAAGCACCAUGAGUUACAGCAAUUCCCCAGACCCAAGAGACAUUCACUGUUGGGUCUUGGGUGUUGGGGGAUGGAGCUGCAGUUUGGAGAGUCUGUGAGUCUGCAGCUGCUCUCCAUCAGAUGAUAACAGUGGAUCUCAUUCCAUUAACUGGCAUACGGGCUGUAAAAGAUUGUCAGGACCCAAAAGCUUCUUGUGGUUCAGGAGGAACAGUUUUUAUCUCACCUCCAUCCCCCCAACAAUGAAUUUCUCUUGAAGUCUGGGAGGGUGAAUUUUAUGCAGAAUGCAUUUGCAAUCUAGCCUUAGCAAUCUAGUAAAUCCCUGUGCAGAGAGGUUUAUAAAACUUAGCAUGAUUCCUCCCCAUUUUUUUGUAACCUUAUAACUGAAAUUCAAGCAGAUCCUUAACUACUGAAGCUGUAAUUAUCGUAGGAACUGUUAUUGUAUGACUCCUGCCGAAAUAGCAGUCCCUUAUGCUUGGGAGGAAAAGCAAUAAUAAAAAUGUUGGAAAAAAAUCUGACCCGGUACUAUACUCACUUAAAUCUCCUUUCAAAAGACAUUACUUGCACUGUGCUUAUGGUAAAUUAGACAGUCGCUAUAUGGCCCUAACCAAAGCCUGAGAACAAAAGAGUGUGUUUAGUUGUGUCAAACACACACCUUUUUCCUUUCUGCCGUGUCCUCUCCAGGACAGUU